AUGAACGCUGGCGGCGUGCCUAAUACCUGCAAGUCGAGCGAACAGACGAGGAGCUUGCUCCUCUGACGUUAGCGGCGUACGGGUGAGUAACACGUGGAUAACCUACCUAUAAGACUGGGAUAACUUCGGGAAACCGGAGCUAAUACCGGAUAAUAUAUUGAACCGCAUGGUUCAAUAGUGAAAGACGGUUUUGCUGUCACUUAUAGAUGGAUCCGCGCCGCAUUAGCUAGUUGGUAAGGUAACGGCUUACCAAGGCAACGAUGCGUAGCCGACCUGAGAGGGUGAUCGGCCACACUGGAACUGAGACACGGUCCAGACUCCUACGGGAGGCAGCAGUAGGGAAUCUUCCGCAAUGGGCGAAAGCCUGACGGAGCAACGCCGCGUGAGUGAUGAAGGUCUUCGGAUCGUAAAACUCUGUUAUUAGGGAAGAACAAAUGUGUAAGUAACUAUGCACGUCUUGACGGUACCUAAUCAGAAAGCCACGGCUAACUACGUG
This 496-nucleotide ribosomal RNA is filed under the name uncultured bacterium. RNAcentral describes it as "partial 16S ribosomal RNA". It matches the Rfam family "Bacterial small subunit ribosomal RNA", at positions 29 to 507 of the family's 1533-position model. The record is from RNAcentral.